GAAGUUUGCCACUCCCCCAGUAAGGGGUGUAUUUCCUCCCCUGGGAAGACAUUUUUGAUUGCCUUGACUGAUAGAGUAUGAAUGGCAGAAGUGAGACUCUGU
Long non-coding RNA from Cebus imitator (Panamanian white-faced capuchin), 102 nucleotides. RefSeq lists it as uncharacterized. The transcript has 3 exons. NCBI's taxonomy places the organism in Eukaryota, Metazoa, Chordata, Mammalia, Primates, Cebidae. The record is from RefSeq and is a predicted model, not a curated record.